This 465-nucleotide ribosomal RNA is filed under the name Vreelandella stevensii. RNAcentral's name for it is "partial 16S ribosomal RNA". It matches the Rfam family "Bacterial small subunit ribosomal RNA", at positions 338 to 795 of the family's 1533-position model. The record is from RNAcentral. Lineage: Bacteria; Pseudomonadati; Pseudomonadota; Gammaproteobacteria; Oceanospirillales; Halomonadaceae.
CCUACGGGUGGCAGCAGUGGGGAAUAUUGGACAAUGGGCGAAAGCCUGAUCCAGCCAUGCCGCGUGUGUGAAGAAGGCCUUCGGGUUGUAAAGCACUUUCAGUGGGGAAGAAAGCCUUGGGGCUAAUACCCUCGAGGAAGGACAUCACCCACAGAAGAAGCACCGGCUAACUCCGUGCCAGCAGCCGCGGUAAUACGGAGGGUGCGAGCGUUAAUCGGAAUUACUGGGCGUAAAGCGCGCGUAGGCGGUCUGAUAAGCCGGUUGUGAAAGCCCCGGGCUCAACCUGGGAACGGCAUCCGGAACUGUCAGGCUAGGGGGCAGGAGAGGAAGGUAGAAUUCCCGGUGUAGCGGUGAAAUGCGUAGAGAUCGGGAGGAAUACCAGUGGCGAAGGCGGCCUUCUGGACUGACACUGACGCUGAGGUGCGAAAGCGUGGGUAGCAAACAGGAUUAGAUACCCCUGUAGUC